ACGAUGAGGAGUUUGAUCCUGGCUCAGGAUGAACGCUAGCGGCAGGCCUAACACAUGCAAGUCGAGGGGCAGCGCGUCGCAGCAAUGCGAUGGCGGCGACCGGCGGAAGGGUGCGUAACGCAUGAGCGACGUGCCCCGCGCAGGGGGACAACCCCGGGAAACCGGGGCUAAUACCCCAUGGCGACUGUGUCCCGCAUGGGACGCGGUCUAAAGGAGCGAUCCGGCGCGGGAUCGGCUCGUGUGGCAUUAGCUAGACGGCGGGGUAACGGCCCACCGUGGCAACGAUGUCUAGGGGAACUGAGAGGUUGGUCCCCCACACUGGAACUGAGACACGGUCCAGACUCCUACGGGAGGCAGCAGUGAGGAAUAUUGGACAAUGGGAGGAAUCCUGAUCCAGCCAUGCCGCGUGCAGGCGACGGCCCUACGGGCCUUAAACUGCUUUUGCCGGGGGGCAACUGCGCGCACGAGCUGCGCGCGUGAGAGUACCCGGGGAAUAAGCAUCGGCUAACUCCGUGCCAGCAGCCGCGGUAAUACGGGGGAUGCGAGCGUUAUCCGGAUUCAUUGGGUUUAAAGGGCGCGCAGGCGGCCUGUCAAGUCGGCGGUGAAAUCCGCGGGCCCAACCCGCGAUGUGCCGUUGAUACUGUCAGGCUGGGAUACGUGCGCCGUGGGGGGAAUGCGUGGUGUAGCGGUGAAAUGCAUAGAUAUCACGCAGAACGCCGAUUGCGGAGGCACCUCACGAGCACGGGAUCGACGCUGAGGCGCGAAAGCGUGGGGAUCGAACAGG
RNAcentral lists this ribosomal RNA (784 nucleotides) under Candidatus Merdivivens pullistercoris. RNAcentral's name for it is "bacterial SSU rRNA". It matches the Rfam family "Bacterial small subunit ribosomal RNA", at positions 1 to 776 of the family's 1533-position model. Lineage: Bacteria; Pseudomonadati; Bacteroidota; Bacteroidia; Bacteroidales; Muribaculaceae. The record is from RNAcentral.